UGGAGGCUUACCUCUGUGGUCACAGAGCUC
RNAcentral lists this non-coding RNA (30 nucleotides) under Mus musculus (house mouse). Lineage: Eukaryota; Metazoa; Chordata; Mammalia; Rodentia; Muridae. The record is from RNAcentral.